AUUGAACGCUGGCGGCAUGCCUUACACAUGCAAGUCGAACGGCAGCACGGGAGCAAUCCUGGUGGCGAGUGGCGAACGGGUGAGUAAUAUAUCGGAACGUGCCCAGUGAUGGGGGAUAGCCCGGCGAAAGCCGGAUUAAUACCGCAUACGACCUACGGGUGAAAGCAGGGGAUCGCAAGACCUUGCGUCAUUGGAGCGGCCGAUAUCAGAUUAGCUUGNGGUGGGGUAAAGCCUACCAAGGCGACGAUCUGUAGCUGGUCUGAGAGGACGACCAGCCACACUGGGACUGAGACACGGCCCAGACUCCUACGGGAGGCAGCAGUGGGGAAUUUUGGACAAUGGGCGCAAGCCUGAUCCAGCCAUGCCGCGUGCGGGAAGAAGG
RNAcentral lists this ribosomal RNA (382 nucleotides) under uncultured bacterium. RNAcentral describes it as "bacterial SSU rRNA". It matches the Rfam family "Bacterial small subunit ribosomal RNA", at positions 29 to 414 of the family's 1533-position model. The record is from RNAcentral.